UUACGGCCACAUCACGUUGUAACACUGGUUCCCGUACGAUAUCCGAAGGUAAUCAAAGUCGAUCCUGGUAAGUACCAAGAUGGGUGACUUCUUGGAAAUAUCAGCUUCUGU
Acanthosepion pharaonis is the source of this 111-nucleotide non-coding RNA. Lineage: Eukaryota; Metazoa; Mollusca; Cephalopoda; Sepiida; Sepiidae. The record is from the annotation of a GenBank genome assembly.